RNAcentral lists this ribosomal RNA (428 nucleotides) under Lautropia sp. oral taxon A94. RNAcentral's name for it is "bacterial SSU rRNA". It matches the Rfam family "Bacterial small subunit ribosomal RNA", at positions 29 to 460 of the family's 1533-position model. Lineage: Bacteria; Pseudomonadati; Pseudomonadota; Betaproteobacteria; Burkholderiales; Burkholderiaceae. The record is from RNAcentral.
AUUGAACGCUGGCGGAAUGCUUUACACAUGCAAGUCGAGCGGCAGCGCGGGGUAACCUGGCGGCGAGCGGCGAACGGGUGAGUAAUACAUCGGAACGUGCCCAGACGUGGGGGAUAGCCCGGCGAAAGCCGGAUUAAUACCGCAUGAGAUCUGAGGAUGAAAGCAGGGGACCUUCGGGCCUUGCGCGUUUGGAGCGGCCGAUGGCAGAUUAGGUAGUUGGUGAGGUAAAGGCUUACCAAGCCUGCGAUCUGUAGCUGGUCUGAGAGGAUGAUCAGCCACACUGGGACUGAGACACGGCCCAGACUCCUACGGGAGGCAGCAGUGGGGAAUUUUGGACAAUGGGCGCAAGCCUGAUCCAGCCAUUCCGCGUGCAGGAUGAAGGCCCUCGGGUUGUAAACUGCUUUUGUACAGAACGAAAAAGGCCCGGC